Molecule: transfer-messenger RNA, 354 nt
Filed under: Fibrobacter sp.
Lineage: Bacteria; Pseudomonadati; Fibrobacterota; Fibrobacteria; Fibrobacterales; Fibrobacteraceae
Also listed under: 1 other name
Rfam family: transfer-messenger RNA
About the family: Bacterial tmRNA, also known as 10Sa RNA or SsrA, is named for its dual tRNA and mRNA-like properties.
Source: RNAcentral
GGGGGUGUACUGGCUUUCGACGGGGAACAGGAGAUAUUGGGUUGCAUGUCGAGGAUAUCGGUUGGCCUCGUAAAUCAUCCGAUAAAACUAUAAUUGCCGAAGAUUAUUCUUUUGCAAUGGCUGCCUAAUUAAAGGCGGCGACCUGGUCAGGGAUCGCGCUUAUUUUUGACCGGGCAAAUUAAGGCGCUGGUUUGGCAGAGGGUAUCGGCUGUCAGGCGAGAUUGCGGUACUGGCCUUUUGGUUAGCGUGUUCUUCCGCGCACCAGAGGGUGAGAUUUAAAAAGAAGGACUAAACAUGUAGUGGCCCUUAUUGAUGGUUUUUCGGACAGGGGUUCAACUCCCCUCACCUCCAUUU